CAAAUCCGGAAAAUCAAGGCUGAGGCGUGAUGACGAGGCACUACGGUGCUGAAGCAACAAAUGCCCUGCUUCCAGGAAAAGCCUCUAAGCAUCAGGUAACAUCAAAUCGUACCCCAAACCGACACAGGUGGUCAGGUAGAGAAUACCAAGGCGCUUGAGAGAACUCGGGUGAAGGAACUAGGCAAAAUGGUGCCGUAACUUCGGGAGAAGGCACGCUGAUAUGUAGGUGAAGUCCCUCGCGGAUGGAGCUGAAAUCAGUCGAAGAUACCAGCUGGCUGCAACUGUUUAUUAAAAACACAGCACUGUGCAAACACGAAAGUGGACGUAUACGGUGUGACGCCUGCCCGGUGC
This 351-nucleotide ribosomal RNA is filed under the name Escherichia coli. RNAcentral describes it as "partial 23S ribosomal RNA". It matches the Rfam family "Bacterial large subunit ribosomal RNA", at positions 1537 to 1869 of the family's 2925-position model. Lineage: Bacteria; Pseudomonadati; Pseudomonadota; Gammaproteobacteria; Enterobacterales; Enterobacteriaceae. The record is from RNAcentral.